CCAAUCUGCGGUGUGUACGAUACGCUUUCUUUGAGUCGAGUUGUUUGGGAAUACAGCUCAAAGUAGGUGGUAAAUUCCAUCUAAAGCUAAAUAUUGGUGCGAGACCGAUAGCGAACAAGUACCGUGAGGGAAAGAUGAAAAGAACUUUGAAAAGAGAGUUAAAGAGUACCUGAAACUGUUGAAAGGGAACCGUAUCGUUUCCAGUGUUGUAUCCUAUGCAUAUUUCAUUCGUGGAGUAAUUUACGGGUGCCCUGUGCAUGGGUGUGACGUCAGGGUCAGUUUGUAUGCUGCGGGAGAUGGUCAGUGAGGAGGUGCGUCACUUCGGUGAAAGUUAU
This 335-nucleotide ribosomal RNA is filed under the name Saprolegnia parasitica. Its description in RNAcentral is "partial 28S ribosomal RNA". It matches the Rfam family "Eukaryotic large subunit ribosomal RNA", at positions 230 to 561 of the family's 3401-position model. The record is from RNAcentral. Lineage: Eukaryota; Oomycota; Saprolegniomycetes; Saprolegniales; Saprolegniaceae.